AACACACACUAAUGGUUUCUUCUCUCUACUGACCAUGUCAUGUAUUGUGUUAUAUAUAUAUAUAUAUAUACACACACACAUACACACUAUUAAUAUAUAUAUAUAUACCCUCUACUGACCAUGUCAUGUAUUGUAUUAUAUAUAUAUAUAUAUAUAAUUGAAUCUUCUGACAAAACCAGAAACAGUGGGUAAGAUUCCAAAUUUCUGUCUUGCAUUUAGAACACAAAGGAUCGAGAACACAGAGGAGCGAAGAGAAUACAGAGGAGCGAGGAGGACACUGAGGAGCGAGGUGAGGAGCGAGGAAGACACUGAGAAGCGAGGUGAGGAGCGAGGAGGACACUGAGGAGUGAGGUGAGGAGCGAGGAGACACUGAGGAGGACACUGAGGAGUGAGGUGAGGAGCGAGGUGAGGAGCGAGGAGGACACUGAGGAGUGAGGUGAGGAGCGAGGUGAGGAGCGAGGAGGACACUGAGGAGUGAGGUGAGGAGCGAGGAGGACACUGAGGAGUGAGGUGAGGAGCGAGGAGACACUGAGGAGGACACUGAGGAGCGAGGAGGACACUGAGGAGUGAGGUGAGGAGCGAGGAGACACUGAGGAGGACACUGAGGAGCGAGGAGGACACUGAGGAGUGAGGUGAGGAGCGAGGAGGACACUGAGGAGCGAGGAGGACACUGAGGAGUGAGGUGAGGAGCGAGGAGGACACUGAGGAGUGAGGUGAGGAGCGAGGAGGACACUGAGGAGUGAGGUGAGGAGCGAGGAGACACUGAGGAGGACACUGAGGAGCGAGGU
Molecule: long non-coding RNA, 788 nt
Organism: Ictalurus punctatus (channel catfish)
Lineage: Eukaryota; Metazoa; Chordata; Actinopteri; Siluriformes; Ictaluridae
Source: Ensembl